This 447-nucleotide ribosomal RNA is filed under the name uncultured organism. RNAcentral describes it as "partial 16S ribosomal RNA". It matches the Rfam family "Bacterial small subunit ribosomal RNA", at positions 333 to 797 of the family's 1533-position model. The record is from RNAcentral.
ACACUCCUACGGGAGGCAGCAGUGGGGAAUAUUGGACAAUGGGCGCAAGCCUGAUCCAGCCAUGCCGCGUGAGUGAUGAAGGCCCUAGGGUUGUAAAGCUCUUUCACCGGUGAAGAUAAUGACGGUAACCGGAGAAGAAGCCCCGGCUAACUUCGUGCCAGCAGCCGCGGUAAUACGAAGGGGGCUAGCGUUGUUCGGAUUUACUGGGCGUAAAGCGCACGUAGGCGGACUAUUAAGUCAGGGGUGAAAUCCCGGGGCUCAACCCCGGAACUGCGUUUGAUACGGGUAGUCUUGGGUUCGAGAGAGGUGAGUGGAAUUCCGAGUGUAGAGGUGAAAUUCGUAGAUAUUCGGAGGAACACCAGUGGCGAAGGCGGCUCACUGGCUCGAUACUGACGCUGAGGUGCGAAAGCGUGGGGAGCAAACAGGAUUAGAUACCCCUGUAGUCCC